Molecule: ribosomal RNA, 852 nt
Filed under: uncultured bacterium
Lineage: Bacteria
Description: bacterial SSU rRNA
Rfam family: Bacterial small subunit ribosomal RNA
Source: RNAcentral
AGAGUUUGAUCAUGGCUCAGGAUGAACGCUAGCGGCAGGCUUAACACAUGCAAGUCGAACGGUAACAUGAGAGCUUGCUCUUGAUGACGAGUGGCGCACGGGUGCGUAACACGUAUGCAACCUACCCUUUACAGAAGAAUAGCCCCGAGAAAUCGGGAUUAAUACUUCAUAGUAUCAUAAGAUCGCAUGGUUUAAUGAUUAAAGAUUUGUCGGUAAAGGAUGGGCAUGCGGCCUAUUAGUUUGUUGGUGAGGUAACGGCUCACCAAGACUUCGAUAGGUAGGGGUUCUGAGAGGAUGAUCCCCCACACUGGUACUGAGACACGGACCAGACUCCUACGGGAGGCAGCAGUGAGGAAUAUUGGGCAAUGGAGGAAACUCUGACCCAGCCAUGCCGCGUGCAGGAAGACGGCCCUACGGGUUGUAAACUGCUUUUAUUUGGGAAGAAACCCUAUUACGUGUAAUAGGCUGACGGUACCAAACGAAUAAGCACCGGCUAACUCCGUGCCAGCAGCCGCGGUAAUACGGAGGGUGCAAGCGUUAUCCGGAUUUAUUGGGUUUAAAGGGUCCGUAGGCGGACUAUUAAGUCAGUGGUGAAAUCUUUCGGCUCAACCGGAAAACUGCCAUUGAAACUGAUAGUCUUGAAUAUGAUUGAAGUGGGCGGAAUAUGGCAUGUAGCGGUGAAAUGCUUAGAUAUGCCAUAGAACACCGAUAGCGAAGGCAGCUCACUAAGCCAUUAUUGACGCUAAGGGACGAAAGCGUGGGGAGCGAACAGGAUUAGANNCCCUGGNAGUCCACGCUGUAAACGAUGAUCACUCGAUANUGGCNANAANCUGUCAGUGUCUAANCGAAAGU